GAUGAACGCUGGCGGCGUGCUUAACACAUGCAAGUCGAACGGAAAGGCUCCUGCUUGCAGGGGUACUCGAGUGGCGAACGGGUGAGUAACACGUGGGUGAUCUGCCCUGCACUUCGGGAUAAGCCUGGGAAACUGGGUCUAAUACCGGAUAGGACGAUGGUUUGGAUGCCAUUGUGGAAAGUUUUUUCGGUGUGGGAUGAGCUCGCGGCCUAUCAGCUUGUUGGUGGGGUAAUGGCCUACCAAGGCGUCGACGGGUAGCCGGCCUGAGAGGGUGUACGGCCACAUUGGGACUGAGAUACGGCCCAGACUCCUACGGGAGGCAGCAGUGGGGAAUAUUGCACAAUGGGCGCAAGCCUGAUGCAGCGACGCCGUGUGGGGGAUGACGGCCUUCGGGUUGUAAACUCCUUUCGCUAGGGACGAAGCGCAAGUGACGGUACCUGGAGAAGAAGCACCGGCUAACUACGUG
RNAcentral lists this ribosomal RNA (466 nucleotides) under uncultured bacterium. RNAcentral's name for it is "partial 16S ribosomal RNA". It matches the Rfam family "Bacterial small subunit ribosomal RNA", at positions 28 to 507 of the family's 1533-position model. The record is from RNAcentral.